AUGAGCGGAACAGUGAAGAAGAUCGCCGGACUAUUGAUUGGGAAGGAAUGGCGAAGCUUCUUGUCACCGAUGAAGCUCGCAAGGAGUUUUCUAACCUACGUCGUGCCUUCGAUGAUGUCAACUCCCAACUUCAAACCAAGUUCAGCCAGGAGCCUGAGUCCAUUAACUGGGAAUAUUACAGGAAAGGAAUUGGUUCUCGCUUGGUAGACAUGUACAAAGAAGCCUAUGAAAGCAUUUAGAUUCUCAAGUUUGAGGACACAGUUACUCCUCAAUACAAACCCAAAUUUGAUGCGUUGUUGGUGGAACUGAAAGAAGCUGAGAAGCAAUCUCUCAAGGAAUCUGAAAGAUUAGAGAAGGAAAUUGCUGAAGUGCAAGAGUUGAAGAAAAAACUCAGUACCAUGACAGCAGAAGAAUACUUUGCGAAGCUUCCCGAGUUAAAGAAGAAAUUUGAUGAUGAAAUUCGAAAUGAUUACUGGGGCUACUAAGUUCGGCAUGAUGAGCAGUUUUCUGGAUCCUCCUGUGGGGUUGGAUUCUCUAAGUUCAUCUAUUAUUUAUUUUAGGAAUAAAAGUAAAGAACCAAUUGGUUUGUCAUUUCAUUUGGUGGGGGUAUUUUGAAGAAUGUGAACUGCUACAAUGUACUUUUUCUCUGAUAAGUUUAUCAUAAUUCCAUUACUGAGGAAAUCAUGAAUUCCUUGACACUG
Solanum dulcamara is the source of this 701-nucleotide RNA transcript. It is a transcript of the gene named ATP synthase subunit d, mitochondrial-like, with no coding region annotated. Lineage: Eukaryota; Viridiplantae; Streptophyta; Magnoliopsida; Solanales; Solanaceae. The record is from RefSeq and is a predicted model, not a curated record. The transcript has a single exon.